This 198-nucleotide ribosomal RNA is filed under the name uncultured bacterium. RNAcentral's name for it is "partial 16S ribosomal RNA". It matches the Rfam family "Bacterial small subunit ribosomal RNA", at positions 328 to 539 of the family's 1533-position model. The record is from RNAcentral.
ACGCUCGACACCUACGAGAGGCAGCAGUGGGGAAUAUUGCACAAUGGGGGAAACCCUGAUGCAGCGACGCCGCGUGAGCGAAGAAGUAUUUCGGUAUGUAAAGCUCUAUCAGCAGGGAAGAAACUGACGGUACCUGACCAAGAAGCACCGGCUAAAUACGUGCCAGCAGCCGCGGUAAUCUGAGCGGGCUGGCAAGGC